Molecule: ribosomal RNA, 465 nt
Filed under: uncultured bacterium
Lineage: Bacteria
Description: partial 16S ribosomal RNA
Rfam family: Bacterial small subunit ribosomal RNA
Source: RNAcentral
CCUACGUGUGGCAGCAGUGGGGAAUUUUGCGCAAUGCUCGUAAGAGUGACGCAGCGACGCCGCGUGAAUGACGAAGGCCUUCGGGUCGUAAAGUUCUUUCGACAGGGAAGAAAAUGCCUAUAAGUAACUGUGUAUGUAUUUACGGUACCUGUAUAAGCAGCCCCAGCUAACUCCGUGCCAGCAGCCACGGUAAGCAGGAGGGGGCGAGCGUUGUUCGGAGUGACUGGGCGGAAAGGGCACGUAGGCGGUGUUGUAAGUCAUUAGUCAAAGACUAGAGCUCAACUUUAGUAAGGCUAGUGAUACUAUAAUACUAGAGUAUCAGAGAGGAAUGCAGAAUGCCGGGUGUAGCGGUGAAAUGCGUAGAUAUCAGGAGGAAUACCGUUAGCGAAGGCGGCAAUCUGGCUGGAAACUGACGCUGAGGUGCGAAAGCGUGGGUAGCAAACAGGAUUAGAUACCCGGGUAGUC